UCCGAAACGUGGAAUGUAAUUAAGGAUAAUGUUACUUUUCAUCUAUUUCUAAAAGCUGCUGUGAUUCGGGAUGUUUGGAUUCGAUCUCCGAAUGCGAAUCAUGUUUCAUGGACUCCUAAACGGACUAGCACUAACUAGUGUUUCUGCGUUAAAAUAAAUGUAAAUAUUUGUAAAUAAAUGAUGUAAAUGAACGAC
Molecule: long non-coding RNA, 195 nt
Organism: Colias croceus (clouded yellow)
Lineage: Eukaryota; Metazoa; Arthropoda; Insecta; Lepidoptera; Pieridae
Exons: 2
Source: RefSeq, a predicted model, not a curated record